RNAcentral lists this ribosomal RNA (467 nucleotides) under uncultured bacterium. RNAcentral's name for it is "partial 16S ribosomal RNA". It matches the Rfam family "Bacterial small subunit ribosomal RNA", at positions 28 to 506 of the family's 1533-position model. The record is from RNAcentral.
GACGAACGCUGGCGGCGUGCUUAACACAUGCAAGUCGAACGGAAGGGCCCUGCUUUUGUGGGGUGCUCGAGUGGCGAACGGGUGAGUAACACGUGAGUAACCUGCCCUUGACUUUGGGAUAACUUCAGGAAACUGGGGCUAAUACCGGAUAGGAGCUCCUGCUGCAUGGUGGGGGUUGGAAAGUUUCGGCGGUUGGGGAUGGACUCGCGGCUUAUCAGCUUGUUGGUGGGGUAGUGGCUUACCAAGGCUUUGACGGGUAGCCGGCCUGAGAGGGUGACCGGCCACAUUGGGACUGAGAUACGGCCCAGACUCCUACGGGAGGCAGCAGUGGGGAAUAUUGCACAAUGGGCGGAAGACUGAUGCAGCAACGCCGCGUGCGGGAGGACGGCCUUCGGGUUGUAAACCGCUUUCGCAUGUGACGAAGCGUGAGUGACGGUAAUGGGUAAAGAAGCACCGGCUAACUACGU